GACGAACGCUGGCGGCGUGCCUAAUACAUGCAAGUCGAGCGGACAGAAGGGAGCUUGCCCCCGGAUGUUAGCGGCGGACGGGUGAGUAACACGUGGGUAACCUGCCUGUAAGACUGGGAUAACUCCGGGAAACCGGAGCUAAUACCGGAUAGUUCCUUGAACCGCAUGGUUCAAGGAUGAAAGACGGUUUCGGCUGUCACUUACAGAUGGACCCGCGGCGCAUUAGCUAGUUGGUGAGGUAACGGCUCACCAAGGCGACGAUGCGUAGCCGACCUGAGAGGGUGAUCGGCCACACUGGGACUGAGACACGGCCCAGACUCCUACGGGAGGCAGCAGUAGGGAAUCUUCCGCAAUGGACGAAAGUCUGACGGAGCAACGCCGCGUGAGUGAUGAAGGUUUUCGGAUCGUAAAGCUCUGUUGUUAGGGAAGAACAAGUGCAAGAGUAACUGCUUGCACCUUGACGGUACCUAACCAGAAAGCCACGGCUAACUACGUGCCAGCCGCCGCGGUAA
Molecule: ribosomal RNA, 512 nt
Filed under: uncultured bacterium
Lineage: Bacteria
Description: partial 16S ribosomal RNA
Rfam family: Bacterial small subunit ribosomal RNA
Source: RNAcentral